GGGCACAUAGCUCAGCCGGUAGAGUAGCUGCUUGACGUGCAGUUGGUCGGGGGUUCAAAUCCCUCUGUGCCCA
RNAcentral lists this transfer RNA (73 nucleotides) under Bacillota bacterium. RNAcentral describes it as "tRNA-Val". It matches the Rfam family "tRNA". Rfam says of the family: Transfer RNA (tRNA) molecules are approximately 80 nucleotides in length. Their secondary structure includes four short double-helical elements and three loops (D, anti-codon, and T loops). The record is from RNAcentral. RNAcentral also lists the same sequence under 3 other names. Lineage: Bacteria; Bacillati; Bacillota.